GCGGCGGACGGGUGAGUAACGCGUGAACAAUCUGUCCUAUACAGGGGGAUAACGUUUGGAAACAGACGCUAAUACCGCAUAAGACUGGUUUUGGGCAUCCAAAGCUAGUGGAAGGAGAAAUCUGGUAUAGGGUGAGUUCGCGUCCCCAUUAGAUAGUUGGUGAGGUAACGGCUCACCAAGUCGACGAUGGGUAGCCGAUCUGAGAGGAUGACCGGCCACACUGGAACUGAGAGACGGUCCAG
This 242-nucleotide ribosomal RNA is filed under the name uncultured bacterium. RNAcentral's name for it is "partial 16S ribosomal RNA". It matches the Rfam family "Bacterial small subunit ribosomal RNA", at positions 95 to 334 of the family's 1533-position model. The record is from RNAcentral.